This 233-nucleotide ribosomal RNA is filed under the name uncultured bacterium. RNAcentral's name for it is "partial 16S ribosomal RNA". It matches the Rfam family "Bacterial small subunit ribosomal RNA", at positions 100 to 334 of the family's 1533-position model. The record is from RNAcentral.
CGGGACGGGGGAGUAAUGCUUGGGAAUCUAGCUUAUGGAGGGGGGUAACUACGGGAAACUGUAGCUAAUACCGCGUAAUAUCGGAAGAUUAAAGUGUGGGACCUUCGGGCCACAUGCCAUAGGAUGAGCCCAAGUGGGAUUAGGUAGUUGGUGAGGUAAAGGCUCACCAAGCCGACGAUCUCUAGCUGGUCUGAGAGGAUGACCAGCCACACUGGGACUGAGACACGGCCCAG